Molecule: non-coding RNA, 322 nt
Organism: Lolium perenne
Lineage: Eukaryota; Viridiplantae; Streptophyta; Magnoliopsida; Poales; Poaceae
Source: RefSeq, a predicted model, not a curated record
UCAUUUUGGAGGUGGUUUCACUUCGAUUGACCUCCUGAAAAUGAAAUGGUUCACAGGUCAAGAUCUGGUCAGAUCUGACUUUGUCGAAUUAAACCAGGAUCUUGGGAACGAAUCUUUGAGUGAAACAAAUUGGGGGAUGUUUGGUUUAUACCAUGGUGAUAACCGAGAGAGGCAAUUGCUAAGUUGUGAUGCACUCAUACCUCUACUAGAUGCGAACAAUUCCGGAGAAGAAGAAGAAGUGGAAUUGGACAAGGAUUUUAUUUAUAUUGUUGGGAUUCUUAUAUUGAUAGAGUUGAAGAAGUACAGGGACAAAUAAGCCAAG